CGACAUCUUUAUAAUGGUUUUACCAUUUAGUCAUUUAACAUAUAUUGGAUUAUAAAUAAAUAAACUAAUUUACUUACUACCCUACUUAAAUUUGGUUGAGUGAUAGGUUGUUUUUAGAGCAUCCUCAUCGGUUAACAUCUCCACAUGAGUGUCUAAACACAAAAGUAUUAAUUAGUCUUUUAUCAAAACAUAAUUUGUCUAACCAAAGUUUAAUUUUUACAAAAAUCAAAACCAAUAGAACACAAACACAUGUCAGAAUUGACUGUAGAGAGUAUCUUAAAAGCUCGGUACAGAGAAACUAUAAACCUUGUCUUUUUAUUUUUUUUAUUUUAUUCUUAAGACACCCAAUUGAAAAUUUUUGAUUGGAAGUGCUGUUAGUUUUUUUUUGUUGUCGAUUAUUUGUUCAGCACCUUAAACAAAAUAAUGUAUAAAAUUUGAAAAGAACACUAAGAAAAUUUUAAUUGAUGAGAUACCCUCUCAUCAAUAUUUAUUGAGAUUUUUAACAUAUUUAACCACAAAACUUAUUUAUCGUUACUGAUAAAAUGUAGCCACACAUAUAUUAAGAUAUGUGUGUCCGAAAUAUUCAAAAGAUUCCUAGUCAAAAAUUACCGCAAAUUUUAUUUUAAGGGUUAUUUGUGAAAUAAUCAAAAAAAAAAAUUUAGUUUCGUAGAGAAAGGGUAG
Molecule: long non-coding RNA, 681 nt
Filed under: Brassica rapa (field mustard)
Lineage: Eukaryota; Viridiplantae; Streptophyta; Magnoliopsida; Brassicales; Brassicaceae
Description: long non-coding RNA (BRAP_LNC003325)
Source: RNAcentral